UACAUGGGGUGCAAACGUUGCUCGGAAUUAUUGGGCGUAAAGCGCACGUAGGCGGUUUGUUAUGUCGGAUGUGAAAGCCCUUGGCUCAACUGAGGAAGUGCAUCCGAAACUGGCAAGCUAGAGUAUGUAAGAGGGUCGCGGAAUUCCCGGUGUAGAGGUGAAAUUCGUAGAUAUCGGGAGGAACACCGGUGGCGAAGGCGGCGACCUGGGACAAUACUGACGCUGAGGUGCGAAAGCGUGGGGAGCAAACAGG
This 253-nucleotide ribosomal RNA is filed under the name uncultured bacterium. RNAcentral describes it as "partial 16S ribosomal RNA". It matches the Rfam family "Bacterial small subunit ribosomal RNA", at positions 524 to 776 of the family's 1533-position model. The record is from RNAcentral.